UACAGAGGGUGCGAGCGUUAAUCGGAAUUACUGGGCGUAAAGCGCGCGUAGGCGGCUUUGCAAGUCGGGUGUGAAAUCCCCAGGCUUAACCUGGGAACUGCAUUCGAGACUGCAUUGCUAGAGUAUGGGAGAGGGAAGUGGAAUUUCCGGUGUAGCGGUGAAAUGCGUAGAGAUCAUGAGGAAGACCAGUGGCGAAGGCGGGUCUCUGGACAGUUCCUGACACUGAGACACGAAGGCCAGGGGAGCAAACGGG
RNAcentral lists this ribosomal RNA (253 nucleotides) under uncultured bacterium. RNAcentral's name for it is "partial 16S ribosomal RNA". It matches the Rfam family "Bacterial small subunit ribosomal RNA", at positions 524 to 776 of the family's 1533-position model. The record is from RNAcentral.